GACGAACCGUGCAAACGUUGUUCGGAAUCACUGGGCUUAAAGGGCGCGUAGGCGGGCUCGCCAGUCAGGGGUGAAAGCCCACGGCUUAACCGUGGAAGUGCCUCUGAUACUGCGGGUCUCGAGGGAGGUAGGGGCGUGCGGAACUUCCGGUGGAGCGGUGAAAUGCGUAGAUAUCGGAAGGAACACCGGUGGCGAAAGCGGCGCGCUGGACCUCUUCUGACGCUGAGGCGCGAAAGCGUGGGGAGCGAACAGG
Molecule: ribosomal RNA, 253 nt
Filed under: uncultured bacterium
Lineage: Bacteria
Description: partial 16S ribosomal RNA
Rfam family: Bacterial small subunit ribosomal RNA
Source: RNAcentral